GUAAGUAAAAGUCGUAACAAGGUCUCCGUUGGUGAACCAGCGGAGGGAUCAUUACUGAGUUACCGCUCUACAACCCUUUGUGAACAUACCUAACUGUUGCUUCGGCGGGCAGAGGUCCCUCGCGGAUCUCUCCCGGCAACGCCCUCACGGGCGGAGCGCCCGCCGGAGGAUACCAAACUCUAUUUUAACGACGUUUCUUCUGAGUGGCACAAGCAAAUAAUUAAAACUUUUAACAACGGAUCUCUUGGUUCUG
This 253-nucleotide unclassified non-coding RNA is filed under the name plant metagenome. Its description in RNAcentral is "partial contains small subunit ribosomal RNA, internal transcribed spacer 1, and 5.8S ribosomal RNA". The stretch from base 1 to 54 matches the Rfam family "Eukaryotic small subunit ribosomal RNA", at positions 1778 to 1831 of the family's 1831-position model. The record is from RNAcentral.